UAAAACUCCACCCUACCAGGCUCCCUCCCAUUAUCAUCCAUAUACAACAAAAAGUAUAUUUCAAGAGUAUACAUGCUAUAUGAUAGAAUAAUUUAAGAUAAAUUUAAAUUAUUUCAAGAAAGCUUACGAAUUCAGCUCUACGCCUCGCAUAACUCAUGAAGCCUGAAGUGUGAGGAACAGUCUGUGAUGCUCGAGCAGCUCUACCAAUAUUGGAAUAUGUCUUCUCCGCAAAACAAUAAACAAUGUAAUGCAUAAAAUGUAUAAAUUUCUAAUCUAUAAUAAUAGUAAAUACAAUCUAAGGUAUUGAAAAAAUAUACACAACCUGAGCUCUCUCGGAAAACCAGUAGUGGAC
This 352-nucleotide long non-coding RNA is filed under the name Phoenix dactylifera (date palm). Its description in RNAcentral is "long non-coding RNA (PDAC_LNC015021)". Lineage: Eukaryota; Viridiplantae; Streptophyta; Magnoliopsida; Arecales; Arecaceae. The record is from RNAcentral.